Molecule: ribosomal RNA, 372 nt
Filed under: uncultured Cytophagales bacterium
Lineage: Bacteria; Pseudomonadati; Bacteroidota; Sphingobacteriia; Sphingobacteriales
Description: bacterial SSU rRNA
Rfam family: Bacterial small subunit ribosomal RNA
Source: RNAcentral
CUUCGGGCGCGAAACAAGGUGCUGCAUGGUUGUCGUCAGCUCGUGCCGUGAGGUGUUGGGUUAAGUCCCGCAACGAGCGCAACCCUUAUCACUAGUUGCCAGCAUUUAAGGUGGGGACUCUAGUGAGACUGCCGGCGUAAGCCGUGAGGAAGGUGGGGACGACGUCAAAUCAUCAUGGCCUUUAUGCCUAGGGCUACACACGUGCUACAAUGGCGAGUACAGAGGGUAGCGAAGCCGCAAGGUGGAGCCAAUCUCAUAAAACUCGUCCCAGUUCGGAUUGAAGUCUGGAACUCGACUUCAUGAAGGUGGAAUCGCUAGUAAUCGCGCAUCAGCCAUGGCGCGGUGAAUACGUUCCCGGACCUUGUACACACC